CAUUAGGUGGCUGAAAGCAAGCAAUGGAAUUUUAAACCAUCUCAUAGUAACUAACGACUACUUCUAAUG
This 69-nucleotide transfer RNA is filed under the name Clytra quadripunctata. Its description in RNAcentral is "tRNA-Lys". The record is from RNAcentral. Lineage: Eukaryota; Metazoa; Arthropoda; Insecta; Coleoptera; Chrysomelidae.